This 441-nucleotide ribosomal RNA is filed under the name uncultured bacterium. Its description in RNAcentral is "partial 16S ribosomal RNA". It matches the Rfam family "Bacterial small subunit ribosomal RNA", at positions 338 to 795 of the family's 1533-position model. The record is from RNAcentral.
CCUACGGGAGGCAGCAGUGGGGAAUAUUGCGCAAUGGGGGCAACCCUGACGCAGCAACGCCGCGUGAUUGAAGAAGGCCUUCGGGUUGUAAAGAUCUUUAAUCGGGGACGAAUUUUGACCGUACCCUAAGAAUUAGCCCCGGCUAAAUACGUGCCAGCAGCCGCGGUAAGACGGAGGGAGCAAGCGUUAUCCGGAUUUACUGGGGGUAAAGGGCGUGUAGGCGGGCACGCAAGCCAGAAGUGAAAUCUGGGGGCUUAACCCCCAAACUGCUUUUGAAACUGGUUGUCUUGAGUGAUGGAGAGGCAGGCGGAAUGCCCGGUGUAGCGGUGAAAUGCGUAGAUAUUGGGAGGAACACCAGUGGCGAAGGCGGCCUGCUGGACAUUAACUGACGCUGAGGCGCGAAAGCGUGGGGAGCAAACAGGAUUAGAUACCCGUGUAGUC